AUGUACCACAAGUCUCUCUCCUCGGGGAUUCACUUCCUCGUGCCCGGCAUCGACCGCAUCGCCUACGUCCACUCGCUCGAGGAGGAGGCCAUCCAAAUCCCGGACAACCCUGCCAUCACAAAGGAUGGCACCUUGAUCCAGAUCGGAGGAGUGCUCCAUGUCAAGAUUGCCGAUCCCUUCCUUGCUUCCUACGCCAUAGAGAACCCCAUCUAUGCAGUCACCCAUCUCGCGGAGUUUGUUGCAGGCAGUGAAAUUUGCAAGAUUACCCUUGACAAGACUUUUAAGGAAAGAGACACGCUCAACCACAACAUCAUGAAGUCAAUCAAUUACGCAUCAUGCGAGUGGGGUGUCAAAUGCCUCAAAUACAACAUACGCAUUACUCCAACAGAGGGAGCUAAGAAAGCCAUGGAGAUGCAGCUUGAAGCAGAAUCUAUGAUGGAAAGGGUGAAGAAAGCAAAGGGUACGUGA
RNAcentral lists this ribosomal RNA (468 nucleotides) under Triticum aestivum (bread wheat). RNAcentral describes it as "partial small subunit ribosomal RNA". Lineage: Eukaryota; Viridiplantae; Streptophyta; Magnoliopsida; Poales; Poaceae. The record is from RNAcentral.